This 321-nucleotide ribosomal RNA is filed under the name Triticum aestivum (bread wheat). Its description in RNAcentral is "partial small subunit ribosomal RNA". The record is from RNAcentral. Lineage: Eukaryota; Viridiplantae; Streptophyta; Magnoliopsida; Poales; Poaceae.
AUGACUAUAGCCCUUGGUAGAAUUCCUAAAGAAGAAAAUGAUCUAUUUGAUACUAUGGAUGACUGGUUACGAAGGGACCGUUUCAUUUUUGUAGGAUGGUCUGGCCUAUUGCUCUUUCCUUGUGCUUAUUUCGCUUUAGGGGGUUGGUUUAUAGGGACAACUUUUGUAACUUCUUGGUAUACCCAUGGAUUGGCUAGUUCCUAUUUGGAAGGUUGUAAUUUCUUAACCGCAGCAGUUUCUACCCCUGCAAAUAGUUUAGCACACUCUUUGUUGCUACUAUGGGGGCCCGAAGCACAAGGAGAGUUUACUCGUUGGUGUUAA